UACGGAGGGUGCAAGCGUUAUCCGGAUUCACUGGGUUUAAAGGGUGCGUAGGUGGAUUUAUAAGUCAGUGGUGAAAGCCCCGAGCUCAACUUGGGAAUUGCCAUUGAUACUGUAGAUCUUGAGUGCGGUUGAGGUAGGCGGAAUGUUACAUGUAGCGGUGAAAUGCUUAGAUAUGUAACAGAACACCAAUUGGGAAGGCAGCUUACCAAGCCGAUACUGACACUGAUGCACGAAAGCGUGGGGAUCAAACAGG
Molecule: ribosomal RNA, 253 nt
Filed under: uncultured bacterium
Lineage: Bacteria
Description: partial 16S ribosomal RNA
Rfam family: Bacterial small subunit ribosomal RNA
Source: RNAcentral